RNAcentral lists this transfer RNA (72 nucleotides) under Ornithorhynchus anatinus (platypus). It matches the Rfam family "tRNA". From Rfam's summary of the family: Transfer RNA (tRNA) molecules are approximately 80 nucleotides in length. The record is from Rfam by way of RNAcentral. Lineage: Eukaryota; Metazoa; Chordata; Mammalia; Monotremata; Ornithorhynchidae.
GGCAGUGUGGCUCAGUGGAAAGAGCCAUGGCUUGGGAUUCAGAGGUCAUAGGUUCGAAUCCCGGCUCUGCUA